CCUGCCUCUAGAGGCUUUGCAGAUGUGGCCGCUGUGGCAUGUAUGUAGGUGGCAGUAGGUGGCAGAGAGGAGAGAGGCUAUGUCUAUUCUCAGUAUUCUGACCUUUGAACAUCUGAAUGAUUAGUAGCUCAACAUU
Small nucleolar RNA from Apodemus sylvaticus (European woodmouse), 136 nucleotides. RefSeq annotates it as small nucleolar RNA SNORA17. The record is from RefSeq and is a predicted model, not a curated record. Lineage: Eukaryota; Metazoa; Chordata; Mammalia; Rodentia; Muridae. The transcript has a single exon.